This 384-nucleotide RNase P RNA is filed under the name Pueribacillus theae. Its description in RNAcentral is "Bacterial RNase P class B". It matches the Rfam family "Bacterial RNase P class B". Rfam says of the family: Ribonuclease P (RNase P) is a ubiquitous endoribonuclease, found in archaea, bacteria and eukarya as well as chloroplasts and mitochondria. Its best characterised activity is the generation of mature 5'-ends of tRNAs by cleaving the 5'-leader elements of precursor-tRNAs. Cellular RNase Ps are ribonucleoproteins. The record is from Rfam by way of RNAcentral. Lineage: Bacteria; Bacillati; Bacillota; Bacilli; Caryophanales; Bacillaceae.
GCGUUCGGGUAAUCGCUGCAUAUUCAUUAUGUAGAGGAAAGUCCAUGCUCGCACGGUCUGCGAUGACCGUAGUAUUCGCGCCUAACGAAACAAUAAGUUAGGGUAAUUCGGUUGCGACUGAAUUAACGGCUGGGAAACACCUAAGUCUUCUUGAUAUGGUGUCUACCUAUAAAAGUGCCACAGUGACGGAGUUCUCUUGGAAACAGGGGAAGUGGAACGAGGUAAACCCCGCGUGCGAGAAACCCAAAUUAUGGUAGGGGAGCUUUCUCGAAGGAAAUGAACGGAGAGAAGGUCGAAUGUUAAGAUUCGAAGAUAGAUGAUUACCACCCAAGUACAAGGUUAAUCCCGUUUGCAGUACGAGGGCACAAAACAUGGCUUAUAGAA